GGAGUAUAAAACACUACACAGGCAUUAACAGCAUGAACUACUGCCUUCUUGCCUGUCGUUUGCAUUAAAAAUGGAGCAGUUUCAGAAAGGGCAUCCGUGCUCGAGACACCCUCCACAAGAGCAUCGAGAAAGCCAUCCGGGAGAAGCCGCUGUGCCUGCAGGGGAAGGAUUAUGCCGACGCGCUGGACGUGCUGAUGGACAGUGCCAAGGAGAACGGCACGGAGCUCAGCAUGCAGGAGCUCAAGUCCCAGAGAUGUUGAUUGUGGUUCCAGUUGCUGAUAUGCCUGUUAAGGUCAAAUCAUUGCUGAAUCAGAAUCCAGGGGAUUUACGGAUCUCUUUUUGGGGUCAAGAGACUAAAAGAAAGACCAUCUCUGGCAUAGGUGGGUAUUUUAUGUCCAAAGAGUUAAAACCCUCACCAGGACUUUUAACUCACAGGGUUCUGGUUUGAAAAGUAAAAAUCCUCUCCUGGAUUUUGUUAGGGCCACAAUCAGAAUUGAUUUUGAGGUCUGUUUACACUACUUAAUGUAGAUGGAGAUCAUUUAGAUGGGGCAGAGGUGGCCUAGCGGUCAAGGAAGCGGCCCCGUAAUCCCGAAUCUCCAAGGUGCCACAGAGCAAAGCACCGUCCCCACACACUGCUCCCCAGGUGCCCGUCAUGGCUGCCCACUGCUCACCGAGGGUGAUGGUUAAAAGCAGAGAACACGUUUCAUUGUGUCACUGUGUGCUGUGCUGCACUUUCACCAUCAUUUAAAUAAACUGAGUUGGCUUAAAAUCUGUUCGGGUUUAAGACUUUGUUACAAUGAAGAUCCAUUAAUUAGCCACAAUGAUUGUAGCAUGCACUUAAAGAUACCAUAUCAUACCAUAUUUAUUUAUAAAGCACUUUAACACAACAAAGGAGCUGACCAAAGUGCUGUACAUUAAAAUGAAAAAAAGUUACCAGGAACAAAACAGACAUGGACAAAAAGUUCAUUAAAAAUUAAGAACAAAAGAAAAACUGAAAAAAAUAAAACAUGCAGCAAUUUGAAUUUAAGCAAGGGGUUGAAAACAUGUUAAGACAACAUAUUAAAAGAGUUAAGAAAGGACUGCAUAAGAAGCCACAUAAAACACUGUAUAAGAACACCGUAUAAGAAACCACGUCACACUGGGUUAAAAGCCAGGGUGUAAAAGUGAGUUUUUAAACGAGAUUUAAACACAUUGACUGACGGCGCCUGUCUGACACUGAUUGGCAGGUCCUUCCAUAGACGUGGGGCGGCCACUGCAAAGGCCCGGCCACCCCUGUGCUUGUAAUGUGACCGAGGAACAGACAAUAGUCUCUGGUCUGAAGACCUGAGAGAACGGGAUGGAGUGUAAGAGAAGGUCUGACAAAUAGGCUGGAGCCGAGCCAUUCAGUGAUUUUAAAACAAUUGAAAUCAGUGAGAAAUGCAGUGGCAUUUUAUACUAAUUGAAGGCGAGCUACAGAUUUCUGGCUGAUCCCAAAAAGCAAUGAAUUACAGAAGUCAAGGCGGGACGUAAUGAAAGUGUCACAUGAUUCCAUCAUUUGACGGGGAGUUACACGGUGAAUCACUGUUUUCGAUUGGAAACGACUGGCUUGAGUUUGGUCAGGUGCCUCAGCUAAAAAAAGCUCGAUUUUACAAUAUUGUUAACCCGUGCAUCCAUUUUCAGAGUUGAGUCCAUUUUAACACCUAGGCUUGUAAUCAAUGAUUUUUCACAAGGGGCUAGGGGUGCGAGGUCAAUACGGGGGUCACCACGACCAAAAAGCAUACAUUCCCCUCUUACUCUCAAUUAGUUCCAGAAAAUUUAAGGCCAUCCACCUCUUGAUAUUAGUCAGACAAUGGAGGAGAGAUUGGAUAGAGCACACGUAAGGGGAAAGUCUACUUGAUAGUCUUCUGCAUAGAAAUGAAAAGAAACAUUGUGUUUUCAAAAAAUACACUUAAAGAUCAACUCUAAAGUGGGCAGCACAUCUUUCUGCCGCAAAAAAACACGAGCUAAAAACCGAUUUACGGCGCUUGAACUAUGUAUAUACAAAACACCAACUCAGUUUAAUUUAAAUGACUUAAAUUGAUGGGAACGGGAAGACAGUGACAGAUGAUUCCCAUUUAAUCAGCGCUGACCUGGAAUCCGUGCUCAGUCAUUGAGUUCAAUUCAUCUCAAGCUCAACUCUACUUGAUUCAGUAUCUAAGUAAGCCUGAUCCUGCUCCACCCAAACGUGUCCAAUUCUUGUUUAUUCCCCCCUCUCCUACGUAUAUACUGAUUCCUUUGUGCCAUUCUGCAAUUGGGUUCACUCAUUCGUGCGAACAUUUCAGUCAUCAAUUGAGUGAGUAAUCUGAACAAACCAAAAUUCAUCUUUCAGUGAGACUGGAGCAAAAUCCCAAAGAGGAUCUUUUACUCUCUGAACCUGAAAUGUCCAACCCUGUUCCAAAGAAGUCAGUGCAAGCAAAAUUCUAUAGUUGGGCAUUACUGUCAAUAAAUGGUACAGAUUAUGAACCUAGGAUUACUCUUCAUCUUGACUUGCAUUGCAUGAAAUAUUUGCUAAAUAAAUAUAGGCCUACGAUGGCAUUUGCUGUCAAAUCUUAACAGGUAACUACAACGGCCUGCAAAAUCAAGGAGCAACAUGCUAUUUGAAUUCAGCAUUGCAGAUCCUCUUCAUGACCAAAGAGUUUCGAGAGAACAUAGCAAGGUAUAUACCGUUGGGCUUUUAAAAGCAGUAAUAUUCACUUAAAUUUGUAGGGUGGUAAUAGCCCAGUGGGUAACACACUAGCCUAUGAACCAGAAGACCCGGGUUCGAAUCCCACUUACUACCAUUGUGUCCCUGAGCAAGACACUUAACCCUAAAAGGGGGAGGGAAGACUGAACCUGUAACUACUGAUUGUAAGUCGCUCUGGAUAAGGGCGUCUGAUAAAUGCUGUAAAUGUAAAUGUAAAUUUUACCCGAUGUGGUUAUAUGGUGAUUUAGCAUCAAGGAAGAAGAGAAUGAAGUUCUGGUUCAGCUGAAAAAGCUGUUUGAAAAUCUCCAAGUGGAAAAAAUCCAAGAGGAGAGUAAAACAAUCUCAACUCGUGGGGUAACCACAAGUCUCAAAAUUGACAAUGGUUAGUUGUAAUUUUAAAUUUAAUAUUAAUUAUUUACAGAAUCACAUGAAAUCAUAAUUCAUGAGUACUACUAUGUUUUUUUUAAGUUUACGAACAGCAAGAUGCAGUGGAGUGGCUCCGUAACAUCAUCUCAGCAGUGGGCAGCAGUGCACCAAAGGUAAUGUGCGGCUGGUGGCUUGAGCAAAUGGCUUGCAGCAAACGUGAAGUGAUGUCAGCGAAUGAGUUUGCAUUCAUCUGUUCAUGCCUCUGUCCUUUUAUACUGUGUGCUGUGUUGGGCGUAGCGUGGUGCCCUUCCGGCCUGACAGGGUCGGGUACGCCCCUGUGCCCCCUGGUGGCCCGUUGGGCGGACGACAACCGUGACGAUACUAUCAGUCAAGUUUUUAUCAGUCAAAUUUUUUACUUUAACUGGCUGCACACACACACGGAUGAUACCUGUACUUUUUUAUUCCACUUUGAGCACUUUGGCACUAAACAUGCACAGUAAGGAUCUGCCAACAAGAUUUGUUGUGUCAUUCACAUAACAACCGCACAGAAUCACUUUGCAUAUUUUAGGCAGAUUCUCUAGUUCCUUAAAAAUAAGAGAUCCAUUCAUCAAAAUGUUGCAAUUUUCUCGCGGCCAGUAAAAUUAUAUAUGUUCUUCGGUUCAUAUUAAGACGCUGAAAUGGACCUGUGUAUUACCCAUAUGGACGUUUUACCUAAAGAAGGGCUGAGUCUCUUUGUUAUAUCUGACAGUGAUUUGGGUGGGAACACCCAAUGUGUUCAUUUAACACUGGUACCACAGCAACCAAGCACCAUAACAUUUGAAGUUAGAUUUGGGAUGGAAUUUGCCUGUGUUAAAAUAGAAUGCUGUUUAAGUCUUAUGCAUCUACCACAUAGGCUAAUGGAUAAGGCGCCUGACUUCGGAUCAGGAGAUUAAGGGUUCGAGUACCUUUAUGGGGCAGUGGUGGCCUAGCGGUUAAGGAAGCGGCCCCAUAAUCAGAAGGUUGCCGGUUCAAAUCCGGUCCAAUCCGCCAAGGUGCCACUGAGGUGCCACUGAGCAAAGCACCGUCCCCACACACUGCUCCCCGGGCGCUUGUCAUGGCUGCCCACUGCUCACUCAGGGUGAUGGGUUAAAUGCAGAGGACAAAUUUCACUGUGCACUGUGUGCUGUGCUGCUGUGUAUCACAAGUGACAAUCACUUCACUUUUGAUCUGCGGUUUCACAAAAAAAGCCACUUUAUUGUCCACAAAGAGAAAUUCACUCUGGAAUUUGUUUCAGAAAAUAACACUUCUAUGUCCCCUUAAAUGCCAUGUCCGUGUGGACGCAAGCCAGAUCAGAUAAAAAUGUUCCAGUUUAAGAGGAAAAUGUUCUCCUGUAGACAGGACCUCGGUUGAAUUGUGUUGUGUUUCCCCACAACUAGAUGGAAGUUGGAAACAUGCACUGGCUCUCUCCUCAUUUCCCACCUCCCCAAUGAUACGCUUCAUUACGGUUUCUGCUUUUCUCUAAUGAUGCUGUUGUGCCUGUUUUCUGUAACUUUCCGUCAACUUCUGACUCUCUGUCCAAAUAGUGAACAUGUUUCAAAUGGCAAAGAAGCUGAAUAAAUAAAACAUGUUAAAUCGGUUGAGCAGAAGAAGCCUUUUAUUACUCUAUAAAGUUAUAUGUCCACAACGACCUGAGUAUUGAUUAUACUUAUCACCUAACCUUGUUUUAACUUUUGUGUUCUGCCAAUCUAAAUGCUUUAGGUUUUUGAGGUAACAGUCCAAAAACUAUUUAAGUGUUCAAACAAGCAUCAUAGUUCAUCACAGGAAGACAAAUUCACCAUCAUUCCUCUUUCUAUUGGUCCUGAGAAAAAGGAAAAAUAUAAUGUGGUAAGAAAACUUCGCCUUCUUGAUAUCUACAAUUCAUUCAAAUGGAAAGGUUUUUAUUAAAUGUGUUUAUUCAUACAAUUCAU
Long non-coding RNA from Denticeps clupeoides (denticle herring), 5013 nucleotides. The record is from Ensembl. NCBI's taxonomy places the organism in Eukaryota, Metazoa, Chordata, Actinopteri, Clupeiformes, Denticipitidae.